UGGAUGUGUAGCUCAGCUGGUUAGAGCAUUACGUUGACAUCGUAAAGGUCACUGGUUCAAAUCCAGUCAUGUCUAU
RNAcentral lists this transfer RNA (76 nucleotides) under Sheathia arcuata. RNAcentral's name for it is "tRNA-Val". It matches the Rfam family "tRNA". From Rfam's summary of the family: Transfer RNA (tRNA) molecules are approximately 80 nucleotides in length. The record is from RNAcentral. Lineage: Eukaryota; Rhodophyta; Florideophyceae; Batrachospermales; Batrachospermaceae. RNAcentral also lists the same sequence under 2 other names.